CGAGUUGACCAGACAAUCGCUGCUUUAUUCUUGUAUCAGAUGUGUAAACUGAAGAUAUAGGUAUGAGGGGGAGGAAAGUCCGGGCUCCAAUGAGCAGGGUGCCAGGUAACGCCUGGGCGGCGUGAGCCGACGACAAGUGCAGCAGAGAGAAGACCGCCGAUGGUUGUUCUUAGGAACUUCACAGGUAAGGCUGAAAGGGUGCGGUAAGAGCGCACCGGAUUGCUGGUAACAGUAAUUGCAGGGUAAACUCCACCCGGAGCAAGACCAAAUAGGGUUUCAUAUGGCGUGGCUCGCGUUGAAACCGGGUAGGUUGCUUGAGCCUUAGAGCGAUUUAAGGCCUAGACGAAUGAUUGUCACUCUUUUUCGAAAGAGAUACAAAACCCGGCUUAUGUGGUCAACUCAACUA
Colwellia sp. PAMC 20917 is the source of this 406-nucleotide non-coding RNA. It matches the Rfam family "Bacterial RNase P class A". From Rfam's summary of the family: Ribonuclease P (RNase P) is a ubiquitous endoribonuclease, found in archaea, bacteria and eukarya as well as chloroplasts and mitochondria. The record is from Rfam. Lineage: Bacteria; Pseudomonadati; Pseudomonadota; Gammaproteobacteria; Alteromonadales; Colwelliaceae.